UACGGAGGAUCCAAGCGUUAUCCGGAAUCAUUGGGUUUAAAGGGUCCGUAGGCGGCCCGGUAAGUCAGUGGUGAAAUCUCCCCGCUCAACGGGGAAACUGCCAUUGAUACUGCCGGGCUUGAAUUAUUGGGAAGUAACUAGAAUAUGUAGUGUAGCGGUGAAAUGCUUAGAGAUUACAUGGAAUACCGAUUGCGAAGGCAGGUUACUACCAAUAUAUUGACGCUGAUGGACGAAAGCGUGGGUAGCGAACAGG
This 253-nucleotide ribosomal RNA is filed under the name uncultured bacterium. RNAcentral's name for it is "partial 16S ribosomal RNA". It matches the Rfam family "Bacterial small subunit ribosomal RNA", at positions 524 to 776 of the family's 1533-position model. The record is from RNAcentral.